GGGGGUAUAGCUCAGUGGUAGAGCAUUAUUCGACUGCUAGAUCGAGAGGUCCCCGGUUCAAACCCGAAUGCUCCCU
RNAcentral lists this transfer RNA (76 nucleotides) under Trichonephila inaurata madagascariensis. It matches the Rfam family "tRNA". Rfam says of the family: Transfer RNA (tRNA) molecules are approximately 80 nucleotides in length. Their secondary structure includes four short double-helical elements and three loops (D, anti-codon, and T loops). Further hydrogen bonds mediate the characteristic L-shaped molecular structure. tRNAs have two regions of fundamental functional importance: the anti-codon, which is responsible for specific mRNA codon recognition, and the 3' end, to which the tRNAs corresponding amino acid is attached (by aminoacyl-tRNA synthetases). tRNAs cope with the degeneracy of the genetic code in two manners: having more than one tRNA (with a specific anti-codon) for a particular amino acid; and 'wobble' base-pairing, i.e. permitting non-standard base-pairing at the 3rd anti-codon position. The record is from Rfam by way of RNAcentral. Lineage: Eukaryota; Metazoa; Arthropoda; Arachnida; Araneae; Nephilidae.